GGGUUGUGAGGUUAAGCGACUAAGCGUACACGGUGGAUGCCCUGGCAGUCAGAGGCGAUGAAGGACGUGCUAAUCUGCGAUAAGCGUCGGUAAGGUGAUAUGAACCGUUAUAACCGGCGAUUUCCGAAUGGGGAAACCCAGUGUGAUUCGUCACACUAUCAUUAACUGAAUCCAUAGGUUAAUGAGGCGAACCGGGGGAACUGAAACAUCUAAGUACCCCGAGGAAAAGAAAUCAACCGAGAUUCCCCCAGUAGCGGCGAGCGAACGGGGAGCAGCCCAGAGCCUGAAUCAGUGUGUGUGUUAGUGGAAGCGUCUGGAAAGGCGCGCGAUACAGGGUGACAGCCCCGUACACAAAAAUGCACAUACUGUGAGCUCGAUGAGUAGGGCGGGACACGUGGUAUCCUGUCUGAAUAUGGGGGGACCAUCCUCCAAGGCUAAAUACUCCUGACUGACCGAUAGUGAACCAGUACCGUGAGGGAAAGGCGAAAAGAACCCCGGCGAGGGGAGUGAAAAAGAACCUGAAACCGUGUACGUACAAGCAGUGGGAGCACGCUUAGGCGUGUGACUGCGUACCUUUUGUAUAAUGGGUCAGCGACUUAUAUUCUGUAGCAAGGUUAACCGAAUAGGGGAGCCGAAGGGAAACCGAGUCUUAACUGGGCGUUAAGUUGCAGGGUAUAGACCCGAAACCCGGUGAUCUAGCCAUGGGCAGGUUGAAGGUUGGGUAACACUAACUGGAGGACCGAACCGACUAAUGUUGAAAAAUUAGCGGAUGACUUGUGGCUGGGGGUGAAAGGCCAAUCAAACCGGGAGAUAGCUGGUUCUCCCCGAAAGCUAUUUAGGUAGCGCCUCGUGAAUUCAUCUCCGGGGGUAGAGCACUGUUUCGGCAAGGGGGUCAUCCCGACUUACCAACCCGAUGCAAACUGCGAAUACCGGAGAAUGUUAUCACGGGAGACACACGGCGGGUGCUAACGUCCGUCGUGAAGAGGGAAACAACCCAGACCGCCAGCUAAGGUCCCAAAGUCAUGGUUAAGUGGGAAACGAUGUGGGAAGGCCCAGACAGCCAGGAUGUUGGCUUAGAAGCAGCCAUCAUUUAAAGAAAGCGUAAUAGCUCACUGGUCGAGUCGGCCUGCGCGGAAGAUGUAACGGGGCUAAACCAUGCACCGAAGCUGCGGCAGCGACGCUUAUGCGUUGUUGGGUAGGGGAGCGUUCUGUAAGCCUGUGAAGGUGUACUGUGAGGUAUGCUGGAGGUAUCAGAAGUGCGAAUGCUGACAUAAGUAACGAUAAAGCGGGUGAAAAGCCCGCUCGCCGGAAGACCAAGGGUUCCUGUCCAACGUUAAUCGGGGCAGGGUGAGUCGACCCCUAAGGCGAGGCCGAAAGGCGUAGUCGAUGGGAAACAGGUUAAUAUUCCUGUACUUGGUGUUACUGCGAAGGGGGGACGGAGAAGGCUAUGUUGGCCGGGCGACGGUUGUCCCGGUUUAAGCGUGUAGGCUGGUUUUCCAGGCAAAUCCGGAAAACUAAGGCUGAGGCGUGAUGACGAGGCACUACGGUGCUGAAGCAACAAAUGCCCUGCUUCCAGGAAAAGCCUCUAAGCAUCAGGUAACAUCAAAUCGUACCCCAAACCGACACAGGUGGUCAGGUAGAGAAUACCAAGGCGCUUGAGAGAACUCGGGUGAAGGAACUAGGCAAAAUGGUGCCGUAACUUCGGGAGAAGGCACGCUGAUAUGUAGGUGAAGUCCCUCGCGGAUGGAGCUGAAAUCAGUCGAAGAUACCAGCUGGCUGCAACUGUUUAUUAAAAACACAGCACUGUGCAAACACGAAAGUGGACGUAUACGGUGUGACGCCUGCCCGGUGCCGGAAGGUUAAUUGAUGGGGUCAGCGCAAGCGAAGCUCUUGAUCGAAGCCCCGGUAAACGGCGGCCGUAACUAUAACGGUCCUAAGGUAGCGAAAUUCCUUGUCGGGUAAGUUCCGACCUGCACGAAUGGCGUAAUGAUGGCCAGGCUGUCUCCACCCGAGACUCAGUGAAAUUGAACUCGCUGUGAAGAUGCAGUGUACCCGCGGCAAGACGGAAAGACCCCGUGAACCUUUACUAUAGCUUGACACUGAACAUUGAGCCUUGAUGUGUAGGAUAGGUGGGAGGCUUUGAAGUGUGGACGCCAGUCUGCAUGGAGCCGACCUUGAAAUACCACCCUUUAAUGUUUGAUGUUCUAACGUUGACCCGUAAUCCGGGUUGCGGACAGUGUCUGGUGGGUAGUUUGACUGGGGCGGUCUCCUCCUAAAGAGUAACGGAGGAGCACGAAGGUUGGCUAAUCCUGGUCGGACAUCAGGAGGUUAGUGCAAUGGCAUAAGCCAGCUUGACUGCGAGCGUGACGGCGCGAGCAGGUGCGAAAGCAGGUCAUAGUGAUCCGGUGGUUCUGAAUGGAAGGGCCAUCGCUCAACGGAUAAAAGGUACUCCGGGGAUAACAGGCUGAUACCGCCCAAGAGUUCAUAUCGACGGCGGUGUUUGGCACCUCGAUGUCGGCUCAUCACAUCCUGGGGCUGAAGUAGGUCCCAAGGGUAUGGCUGUUCGCCAUUUAAAGUGGUACGCGAGCUGGGUUUAGAACGUCGUGAGACAGUUCGGUCCCUAUCUGCCGUGGGCGCUGGAGAACUGAGGGGGGCUGCUCCUAGUACGAGAGGACCGGAGUGGACGCAUCACUGGUGUUCGGGUUGUCAUGCCAAUGGCACUGCCCGGUAGCUAAAUGCGGAAGAGAUAAGUGCUGAAAGCAUCUAAGCACGAAACUUGCCCCGAGAUGAGUUCUCCCUGACUCCUUGAGAGUCCUGAAGGAACGUUGAAGACGACGACGUUGAUAGGCCGGGUGUGUAAGCGCAGCGAUGCGUUGAGCUAACCGGUACUAAUGAACCGUGAGGCUUAACCUUACAACGCCGAAGGUGUUU
RNAcentral lists this ribosomal RNA (2931 nucleotides) under Escherichia coli. RNAcentral's name for it is "23S ribosomal RNA". It matches the Rfam family "Bacterial large subunit ribosomal RNA". Lineage: Bacteria; Pseudomonadati; Pseudomonadota; Gammaproteobacteria; Enterobacterales; Enterobacteriaceae. The record is from RNAcentral.